UCGAAACUUUGUAAGGUGCCUAUGCCAUA
RNAcentral lists this non-coding RNA (29 nucleotides) under Mus musculus (house mouse). Lineage: Eukaryota; Metazoa; Chordata; Mammalia; Rodentia; Muridae. The record is from RNAcentral.